Molecule: ribosomal RNA, 623 nt
Filed under: uncultured bacterium
Lineage: Bacteria
Description: bacterial SSU rRNA
Rfam family: Bacterial small subunit ribosomal RNA
Source: RNAcentral
AUUGAACGCUAGCGGGAUGCCUUACACGUGCAAGUCGAACGGCAGCACGGACUUCGGUCUGGUGGCGAGUGGCGAACGGGUGAGUAAUGUAUCGGAACGUGCCUAGUAGCGGGGGAUAACUACGCGAAAGCGUAGCUAAUACCGCAUACGCCCUACGGGGGAAAGCAGGGGAUCGCAAGACCUUGCACUAUUAGAGCGGCCGAUAUCGGAUUAGCUAGUUGGUGGGGUAACGGCUCACCAAGGCGACGAUCCGUAGCUGGUUUGAGAGGACGACCAGCCACACUGGGACUGAGACACGGCCCAGACUCCUACGGGAGGCAGCAGUGGGGAAUUUUGGACAAUGGGGGAAACCCUGAUCCAGCCAUCCCGCGUGUGCGAUGAAGGCCUUCGGGUUGUAAAGCACUUUUGGCAGGAAAGAAACGUCAUGGGUUAAUACCCCGUGAAACUGACGGUACCUGCAGAAUAAGCACCGGCUAACUACGUGCCAGCAGCCGCGGUAAUACGUAGGGUGCAAGCGUUAAUCGGAAUUACUGGGCGUAAAGCGUGCGCAGGCGGUUCGGAAAGAAAGAUGUGAAAUCCCAGAGCUUAGCUUUGGAACUGCAUUUUUAACUACCGAGCUAGAG